GGGUUGUGAGGUUAAGCGACUAAGCGUACACGGUGGAUGCCCUGGCAGUCAGAGGCGAUGAAGGGCGUGCUAAUCUGCGAUAAGCGCUGGUAAGGUGAUAUGAACCGUUAUAACCGGCGAUACCCGAAUGGGGAAACCCAGUGUGACUCGUCACACUAUCAUUAACUGAAUCCAUAGGUUAAUGAGGCGAACCGGGGGAACUGAAACAUCUAAGUACCCCGAGGAAAAGAAAUCAACCGAGAUUCCCCCAGUAGCGGCGAGCGAACGGGGAGGAGCCCAGAGCCUGAAUCAGCAUGUGUGUUAGUGGAAGCGUCUGGAAAGGCGCGCGAUACAGGGUGACAGCCCCGUACACAAAAGCGCAUGUGCUGUGAGCUCGAUGAGUAGGGCGGGACACGUGGUAUCCUGUCUGAAUAUGGGGGGACCAUCCUCCAAGGCUAAAUACUCCUGACUGACCGAUAGUGAACCAGUACCGUGAGGGAAAGGCGAAAAGAACCCCGGCGAGGGGAGUGAAAAAGAACCUGAAACCGUGUACGUACAAGCAGUGGGAGCACAGGUUUACCUGUGUGACUGCGUACCUUUUGUAUAAUGGGUCAGCGACUUAUAUUCUGUAGCAAGGUUAACCGAAUAGGGGAGCCGGAGGGAAACCGAGUCUUAAUUGGGCGUUAAGUUGCAGGGUAUAGACCCGAAACCCGGUGAUCUAGCCAUGGGCAGGUUGAAGGUUGGGUAACACUAACUGGAGGACCGAACCGACUAAUGUUGAAAAAUUAGCGGAUGACCUGUGGCUGGGGGUGAAAGGCCAAUCAAACCGGGAGAUAGCUGGUUCUCCCCGAAAGCUAUUUAGGUAGCGCCUCGUGAAUUCAUCUCCGGGGGUAGAGCACUGUUUCGGCUAGGGGGCCAUCCCGGCUUACCAACCCGAUGCAAACUGCGAAUACCGGAGAAUGUUAUCACGGGAGACACACGGCGGGUGCUAACGUCCGUCGUGAAGAGGGAAACAACCCAGACCGCCAGCUAAGGUCCCAAAGUCAUGGUUAAGUGGGAAACGAUGUGGGAAGGCCCAGACAGCCAGGAUGUUGGCUUAGAAGCAGCCAUCAUUUAAAGAAAGCGUAAUAGCUCACUGGUCGAGUCGGCCUGCGCGGAAGAUGUAACGGGGCUAAACCAUGCACCGAAGCUGCGGCAGCGACGCUGAUGCGUUGUUGGGUAGGGGAGCGUUCUGUAAGCCUGUGAAGGUGGCCUGUGAGGGUUGCUGGAGGUAUCAGAAGUGCGAAUGCUGACAUAAGUAACGAUAAAGCGGGUGAAAAGCCCGCUCGCCGGAAGACCAAGGGUUCCUGUCCAACGUUAAUCGGGGCAGGGUGAGUCGACCCCUAAGGCGAGGCCGAAAGGCGUAGUCGAUGGGAAACGGGUUAAUAUUCCCGUACUUGGUGUUACUGCGAAGGGGGGACGGAGAAGGCUAUGCUGGCCGGGCGACGGUUGUCCCGGUUUAAGCGUGUAGGUGUGUGUUCCAGGUAAAUCCGGUUCACUUUAACACUGAGGCGUGAUGACGAGGCACUACGGUGCUGAAGCAACAAAUGCCCUGCUUCCAGGAAAAGCCUCUAAGCAUCAGGUAACAUCAAAUCGUACCCCAAACCGACACAGGUGGUCAGGUAGAGAAUACCAAGGCGCUUGAGAGAACUCGGGUGAAGGAACUAGGCAAAAUGGUGCCGUAACUUCGGGAGAAGGCACGCUGACACGUAGGUGAAGUGAUUUACUCAUGGAGCUGAAGUCAGUCGAAGAUACCAGCUGGCUGCAACUGUUUAUUAAAAACACAGCACUGUGCAAACACGAAAGUGGACGUAUACGGUGUGACGCCUGCCCGGUGCCGGAAGGUUAAUUGAUGGGGUCAGCGCAAGCGAAGCUCCUGAUCGAAGCCCCGGUAAACGGCGGCCGUAACUAUAACGGUCCUAAGGUAGCGAAAUUCCUUGUCGGGUAAGUUCCGACCUGCACGAAUGGCGUAAUGAUGGCCAGGCUGUCUCCACCCGAGACUCAGUGAAAUUGAACUCGCUGUGAAGAUGCAGUGUACCCGCGGCAAGACGGAAAGACCCCGUGAACCUUUACUAUAGCUUGACACUGAACAUUGAGCCUUGAUGUGUAGGAUAGGUGGGAGGCUUUGAAGUGUGGACGCCAGUCUGCAUGGAGCCGACCUUGAAAUACCACCCUUUAAUGUUUGAUGUUCUAACGUGGACCCGUAAUCCGGGUUGCGGACAGUGUCUGGUGGGUAGUUUGACUGGGGCGGUCUCCUCCUAAAGAGUAACGGAGGAGCACGAAGGUUGGCUAAUCCUGGUCGGACAUCAGGAGGUUAGUGCAAUGGCAUAAGCCAGCUUGACUGCGAGCGUGACGGCGCGAGCAGGUGCGAAAGCAGGUCAUAGUGAUCCGGUGGUUCUGAAUGGAAGGGCCAUCGCUCAACGGAUAAAAGGUACUCCGGGGAUAACAGGCUGAUACCGCCCAAGAGUUCAUAUCGACGGCGGUGUUUGGCACCUCGAUGUCGGCUCAUCACAUCCUGGGGCUGAAGUAGGUCCCAAGGGUAUGGCUGUUCGCCAUUUAAAGUGGUACGCGAGCUGGGUUUAGAACGUCGUGAGACAGUUCGGUCCCUAUCUGCCGUGGGCGCUGGAGAACUGAGGGGGGCUGCUCCUAGUACGAGAGGACCGGAGUGGACGCAUCACUGGUGUUCGGGUUGUCAUGCCAAUGGCACUGCCCGGUAGCUAAAUGCGGAAGAGAUAAGUGCUGAAAGCAUCUAAGCACGAAACUUGCCCCGAGAUGAGUUCUCCCUGAGACUUUAAGUCUCCUGAAGGAACGUUGAAGACGACGACGUUGAUAGGCCGGGUGUGUAAGCGCAGCGAUGCGUUGAGCUAACCGGUACUAAUGAACCGUGAGGCUUAACCUUACAACGCCGAAG
RNAcentral lists this ribosomal RNA (2929 nucleotides) under Salmonella enterica subsp. enterica serovar Derby. RNAcentral describes it as "23S ribosomal RNA". It matches the Rfam family "Bacterial large subunit ribosomal RNA". The record is from RNAcentral. Lineage: Bacteria; Pseudomonadati; Pseudomonadota; Gammaproteobacteria; Enterobacterales; Enterobacteriaceae.